UCUCCUAACUGAUAAACACUGCAGCCUACCAGGUCAAAAGUAAUGGAUCGCCUUCUACAUCUUCUUCCUGCGCACUGAAACCAUCAAAGUCCUGUUCUUCAGUGUCCGAAUUGAACAGCCUCAAGAUGUCAUCAGCCUCUUCGUUGACGUUCUCACUUGAGCGCACCUGUUCCCCUUAAUCACGCAGCAGUCAAGCCUUUCGAAACCUGUUGGUGAUUUUCCAUGUUGAUGAAGAGUCUCCUGAUUCUGUGGUCAUUAUGACAGAAUGAUCCGACAGAAUGGCGCAUUUCCAGAACAUUUUCACUUAACAAGGCAUCUUGCUCGGCCAGCAUAACUCUGCACUUCAGUCCCUAGAACAACAUCAGGCAUUCACAACCCAAACCUUGGUGGAGAUCAUCCGGACAAUCCGGAACCAUUGCUUGAUGACGACACCCAGCCCAUCCACAGCUCCUCCUGCCAUCUGUCCUAACCUGGUUCCUAAUCAGACCAUCUAUCGAGGAGAAGAUGGAAAUGACGGUGGAGUUUUAGAGGGUGGGGAGGCAAGUGGUGACCGUGGAAUUGUGGAGGAGUCCAGACAGUAAAUCCAGGUGAGCAGCCAGAGUAAUGGUGAGGAGAUUAACGGAGGAAAUCUUGGAACGAGUUCUGACGACAAGAAGGCAGUGGACUGAGAUCCAGGAGCAACUGUGGACUGGAAGCACAAGUUUUCUAUGACACCAGACGCACGGUAGGAGCUGAGCUCCCAGGUGUUCUCCAUCAGCCUCAUCAGGAGAGGAGCAUAAGAACCCAACGCUGCCAACACUCCAGUGCCUGAGUGUUAACCUACAGUGGCUACCUCCAGUCCUGAGCUUCUGUAUCCAGUCUGCUUAUGCAGAGAACCCAGGUCAGCUCUUUGCAAGAGAACUUCACGGAUUAUCUUCUCAGUUGGCUGCAUUCUGAUUUCCAGGCUCCUCAGGCUUCCUG
Girardinichthys multiradiatus is the source of this 960-nucleotide long non-coding RNA. RefSeq lists it as uncharacterized. The transcript has 5 exons. The record is from RefSeq and is a predicted model, not a curated record. Lineage: Eukaryota; Metazoa; Chordata; Actinopteri; Cyprinodontiformes; Goodeidae.